Molecule: ribosomal RNA, 253 nt
Filed under: uncultured bacterium
Lineage: Bacteria
Description: partial 16S ribosomal RNA
Rfam family: Bacterial small subunit ribosomal RNA
Source: RNAcentral
UACGUAGGGGGCAAGCGUUGUCCGGAAUCAUUGGGCGUAAAGCGCGUGUAGGCGGCCAGGUAAGUCCGUUCUGAAAGCCCGGGGCUCAACCCCGGGAGGCGGGUGGAUACUGCUGAGCUUGAGUCCGGAAGAGGCGAGUGGAAUUCCCGGUGUAGCGGUGAAAUGCGCAGAUAUCGGGAGGAACACCAAUGGCGAAGGCAGCUCGCUGGGACGUGACUGACGCUGAGACGCGAAAGCGUGGGGAGCGAACAGG